AUGGCUCAGUUCCCCGCGGUUGCGGUGGUACUGCUGCUAGGCUGCUGCGUUCGUGCGUGGGACUUGGAUAACUGUUGCUCCUGUCACGUGGUCCAAUGCGUUCCGGUCGGCAGCCUCGUCUUCGUGCCGUGCCCGAGUCCAUCGCUCCCGGACCCCGACAACGCCGAGGUGAGCUUCCGGCUCGACCAUUCAGAAGAGAUGGCGUCCUACGACUUCGACGGAUCGAAGCUUGACGCCGGGCUGGAGGAAAACGUGACAAUGGCAAAGAGACGGACGGGGAUCAGUGUCAAGAUGCACUUGAACACGACGGCGUCGGACGGGUGGGCGCGGUUCGCGCUCAUCGGGGUCGCCGCGGAGGACAGCGGCCUUUAUCGGUGCAGCGCCAAGGUCAUCUACCCCGCCCCCGUGUUGACCCUCUGCAACGCGUCCACAGUGGACCUCCGCCUGGAAGGGCACCAGUGCGAGGCCCCUGUGGUCUGUGGCCCCCCGGUCUCCGGGCCCCCUGAGUGUCUCUCGACCUGGAUCUGGAUCGGGGCGAUGGCCGCCCUGGGUGUGUAUGCCCUGCUCGUCACCGUCGUGGCCUCGGUCAAAAUUGUCCGGGUAAACAAAGACGAAUUGAACCAGAGUGAGUACAUGAACACCAAACGUGUGGCGUGCUGAGAAGAGGAUCACAAGGUCUUGAGCGGCUGUUGCAGCAGCCCUCCUGAUUGGUUCAUGCCUAGCCAAUCAGAGUCUUACCUAGCUUGUCUGACCAAUCAAACAAUAGACUUGGAGGAAUACAAAUUUUGAGGACUCAUUUGAACAAAGAUUCUUUCCUCCCCAAAAGUUGUGCUUUCCGCAGGGCCUGGACAAGCUUACACUGCAUAUACAGACCUACUUUAUGGUCAUUCCACCAGCCAUUGCUAUUUUACCCAUUGUUGUUAUUCUGAUAUUGAGACAAAUCCUGAUCACUGUCCUAUAGUCACCAUCUUUUGUGAGUCUCAAUGUCUACUUCAAAUGCCUUCAGAAAUAUGGGACCGUUUGCUUCAUUUUAUUUAUAUGCUACAGGCCGAAAGACUAAAUUAACAUGUAACUUACUUGCUCCUUUUAAGUAUAACAUUGCUUGGGGAGUCCAAUUCCUCCACUGAAAAGGGUGGAAACUAAAGCUGUGUUCGAAAUCGUUCCCUAUCACGGAUAUAGUGCACUAUAUAGGGUGCUUGCCAUUUUGUAGUGGUGUUCGAAUUCUCAGUGGUUAAUUUCAUGCACUAUUUAGUAGGGGUGGGAAAAAUAAUCGAUGCUUCGAUGCAUCGCGAUUCUCGCUAGAACGAUUCUGUCUCGAUGCAGAUAAAUUAAUAAUCCCCGGGGGGGGGGGGGGCGGGAGUAAACAUUUCAAAACACAAUGUAUCAGAAAGUGGGGGAAGCGAAUGUAUGAGAUGGUUGCUAUUGGUAGCUAUCAGCGUGUUGGCCCGCUACAGCUUCAUCUCAAUACCUUCACUUAAAUUAAAACCCUUGACACUUGGCUACCUGAUGCUUUCGUAGACAAUGACGUCAUUUGGAAGUACGGCUGAAGUUUGACCGUUGCAAUUACAUAAAAUAUCCACGUAGGGGCAGUAAAACACUGAAUAAAAGGGUGUUACUAGGUAAUGGUCGUAGUUAAGUCAACUGAUAACUUGUUUAGGGCGUCGCGUCGAGUUAAUUGUGUGUGUGCGUGCGUGUGUGUGUGUGUGUUUGAUUUUAUUGUCUAUUUGUUUUUUGUAUGUUUAAAAAUAAAAUCAAUCAACAAUGUCUUUGUGUGUGAGUGAUUAAGAUACAUCUUUGCAAUGUCUAACUUUGUAUACGUAUUUGUGUAUUUAGCUACAAUGUUUCACAGUUUGGAGAUUAAGCGUUUGUAUAAUAGCACAUUUAGCCUUUGGCGUGUGUACCUGUCCGUCAACAUUCACAGUAAUAGUCCGUUACUGUGUUCAUUAACAACCUUGAAUGGAAGUUUAAACUAAUUAAAUUAAAAAUUGGCUUUCAGAAACUGUUAUACAAAUACACUUUCAAAGCGAAACCAAAGAAAAACCAAAGAAUACUGAUUUUAUUUUAUUUGCCUUUGCCAAUUCUAUGAUGGCUCAUAUUUCUUCAACAAAUGUAGGCCUACAGGUUAAAGGGACAAUAAUAAUUGAAUGAUAAUAAUAAAUUUGAAUCGGGGUCUUUCCUAAUGAAAGUGGCUGAUAAAGUCGACAGUAGGCUUGCAUACACAUCAUGUGCCAUGUUGACACACUAUUGACCGACCGUUAACUAACUGCGGUCGUUUCCUCGCCUUAAACCUUCCACGUGCCACACCCAUGAUACCGUGCAUUGACGAAUCCUUCCGGCCGUGUGCGCGUGUCCACCUCGAGGGAUGCUGCUGCUUGGACCAGACUCCCUCCAUCCCAUCCGAAACCUGCGAUCAUUCAGGGCUAACACACACUAGGCCUAGGUGACUAAUUCAUGUCAUACAUUAUGAGUGGGUCUGCUAUUGAGUGGUGAGCAAAAAAUAAUUAAAAACAGUUUGCACUGUAAAUCAUCCAUCUGUGCCCAGGCGUGUUAUGCAUUGAGGCCCAACCCUUUCUCUGUGUGAGUUACCCGCCCAGCAGUGUGUGUGUGUGUGUGUGUGUGUGUGUGUGUGUGGGUGUGUGUGUGUGUGUGUGUGUGUGUGUGUGUGUGUGUGUGUGUGUGUGUGUGUGUGUGUGUGUGUGUGCGCGUGUGUGUGUGUGUGUGUGCAGCUCUCUGGUCUGGGGAGCGAGAUGCGCACGCACCCACGAUCGGCAGCGCGAGAGAAAGAGAGAGCGAGCGAGAGCGAGAGAGGGAGUUGUGCACCAAGGCCGUCCUGCCACCUCAACAUGGAGUAGACCAUAGACCCUAGCACCGUUUUUCGCGACCAAAAAGGAAAGGAAUACCCGCCACGGCUCCGAGGUUGUGUGUCCACUCUUAAUGCCCGGCCCCGCGGUACGGUAGCAGCGAAGUCUUGCUCGGAUCGCGAAGGAGG
Gadus morhua (Atlantic cod) is the source of this 2989-nucleotide long non-coding RNA. NCBI's taxonomy places the organism in Eukaryota, Metazoa, Chordata, Actinopteri, Gadiformes, Gadidae. The record is from Ensembl.